RNAcentral lists this transfer RNA (80 nucleotides) under Echinococcus granulosus. RNAcentral's name for it is "transfer RNA-Leu". It matches the Rfam family "tRNA". From Rfam's summary of the family: Transfer RNA (tRNA) molecules are approximately 80 nucleotides in length. Their secondary structure includes four short double-helical elements and three loops (D, anti-codon, and T loops). Lineage: Eukaryota; Metazoa; Platyhelminthes; Cestoda; Cyclophyllidea; Taeniidae. The record is from RNAcentral.
GGAAGCGUCGCCGAGUGGUCUAAGGCGCUGGUUUUAGGCACCAUUCUGAAAGGGCGCGGGUUCGAGUCCCGCCGCCGUUA